Molecule: ribosomal RNA, 253 nt
Filed under: uncultured bacterium
Lineage: Bacteria
Description: partial 16S ribosomal RNA
Rfam family: Bacterial small subunit ribosomal RNA
Source: RNAcentral
UACGUAGGGUGCGAGCGUUGCCCGGAUUUAUUGGGCGUAAAGGGCGCGCAGGCGGCUACGCACGUCCGUUGUGAAAUCGCUCGGCUCAACUGGGCGGGGUCAGCGGAUACGGCGUAGCUGGAGCAAGCUAGGGGGCAAUGGAAUUCCUGGUGUAGCGGUGAAAUGCGCAGAUAUCAGGAGGAACACCGGUGGCGAAGGCGGGUCUCUGGGCAACAACUGACGCUGAGGAGCGAAAGCGUGGGGAGCGAACAGG